RNAcentral lists this ribosomal RNA (433 nucleotides) under uncultured bacterium. RNAcentral describes it as "partial 16S ribosomal RNA". It matches the Rfam family "Bacterial small subunit ribosomal RNA", at positions 29 to 507 of the family's 1533-position model. The record is from RNAcentral.
AACGAACGCUGGCGGCAUGCCUAACACAUGCAAGUCGAACGAGACCUCCGGGUCUAGUGGCGCACGGGUGCGUAACGUGUGGGAACCUGCCCUUAGGUUCGGAAUAACUCCCCGAAAGGGGUGCUAAUACCGGAUAAUGUCUUCGGACCAAAGAUUUAUCGCCUUUGGAUGGGCCCGCGUUGGAUUAGCUAGUUGGUAGGGUAAAAGCCUACCAAGGCGACGAUCCAAAGCUGGUCUGAGAGGAUGAUCAGCCACACUGGGACUGAGACACGGCUCAGACUCCUACGGGAGGCAGCAGUGGGGAGUAUUGGACGAUGGGCGAAAGCCUGAUCCAGCAAUGCGGGGUGAGUGAUGAAGGCGUUAGGGUUGUAAAGCUCUUUUACCCGGGAUGAUAGUGACGGUACCGGGAGAAUAAGCGCCGGCUAACUCCGUG